UACGUAGGGGGCAAGCGUUGUCCGGAUUUAUUGGGCGUAAAGCGCUCGCAGGCGGUCCCGUGCGUCGUGCGUGAAAGGCCCCGGCUCAACCGGGGGCGGUCGUGCGAUACGGCGGGACUGGAGGCCAGUAGGGGGACGCGGAAUUCCGGGUGUAGUGGUGGAAUGCGUAGAGAUCCGGAGGAACACCAGCGGCGAAGGCGGCGUCCUGGACUGGACCUGACGCUCAGGAGCGAAAGCGUGGGGAGCGAACAGG
RNAcentral lists this ribosomal RNA (253 nucleotides) under uncultured bacterium. RNAcentral describes it as "partial 16S ribosomal RNA". It matches the Rfam family "Bacterial small subunit ribosomal RNA", at positions 524 to 776 of the family's 1533-position model. The record is from RNAcentral.